GUAGGUGAACCUGCGGAAGGAUCAUUAACACUCCAAAACUUCUCAUUACCUCGUAGCUCUAAGAGAGGGGGGGAGGGGGAGGGGGCAACCCCAACCCUCCCUCCCCCUUUUCUGAACAGCUCGGGGCCUAUGAAACCCUAUUCACCUUUCACGAACCCGGCGGAAAUGGGAACAGAUUUCGUCUGGGCUUUCUUCACGGAAACUCAGAGGCUGCCCAUUUCUUGCUACUUCUUUUGUCCUUUUUAUUUUUAUUUUUAACCCCAAUCAUCAUUAUUAUUUCAAGUCUGACUGGAAACAAAAAGGCUUCGGCCUCUUUCUUUCCGUUGCUCUUGUUUUUGCUCUAACCGGCACAAGGCAAUGAAAGCUACCAAAACAAAAAAAAAAACAACUCUUAGCAACGGAUAUCUUGGUUCUC
RNAcentral lists this unclassified non-coding RNA (415 nucleotides) under rhizosphere metagenome. RNAcentral describes it as "partial ribosomal RNA internal transcribed spacer region". The record is from RNAcentral.